UUUACUUAUUAUUGUAUAUAUAAUUUGUAUAUUUAUAAUAUUUACUUAUUAUUUAUUUUUCUAUAUAUUGAGUAUUUCUCUUUCUUAUACUUUAUAUUUAGUUAAUUUAUAUAUUUUAUAUUUUAAGAUAGAUGUUUAAAUCUUAAUGUAUUUUUCCAUUUUUAGUGUAAAGCGGCAAUGUUUAAUAGAAGAACUUGGACAAAUAGUCAAAUAGUUAUAUUUAUGUUUUUUUUUCUUUUUUUAUAUAAUGGCAAUGUUAUAUUAUGGAAAUAAGCCGGUUUUUAGUGAAAAUUGUAAUCUUACAUAUGUUUAAUGUAGUUUUUCUAUUUUUUUUAUGUUGUGUGUUUACAUAUUAUUGUUAUUUUUAAAUGUAAAAUGGUAAUCUUACAUAUGUUUAAUGUAGUAUUUCCAUUUUUUAUGUUGUAUGUUUACAUAUUAUUUAUUAUUUUUGAAAUUAUAUAUAAUGUUUUUUUUACAAAAUAGUAAUAUUACAUUAUGGAGAUAAGCCGUCUUUUUUUUAGUGAAAAAUGGUAAUCUUACAUAUGUUUAAUUAAUGUAGUUUUUCUAUUUUUUAUGUUGUAUGUUUACAUAUUAUUAUUUUUAAAUAAAAAUGUAAAAUGGUAAUCUUACAUAUGUUUAAUGUAGUAUUUCUAUUUUUUAUGUUGUAUGUUUACAUAUAUUUAUUAUUUUUGAAAUUGUAUAUAAUGUUUUUUUUUUUUUUUUUUUUAUAAAACGGUAAUGUUACAUUAUGGAGAUAAGCCGUCUUUUUUUUAAGUGAAAAAUGGUAAUCUUACAUAUGUUUAAUGUAGUUUUUCUAUUUUUUGUGUUGUAUGUUUACAUAUUAUUUAUAAUUUUCAAAAAUGUGUAAUAUUAAAAUGUAAAACUAUAUUUUAUGCCACGUGUCAUCUUUCGAGAGAAGUUUUUUUUGCUGAUGUGGACGCUCUAUGGAGCCUCAAAAGGUCCCUUUUAUUAGUUCUAUAUAUUGAGUAUUUCUCUUUCUUAUACUUUAUAUUUAGUUAAUUUAUAUAUUUUAUAUUUUAAGAUAGAUGUUUAAAUCUUAAUGUAUUUUUCCAUUUUUAGUGUAAAGCGGCAAUGUUUAAUAGAAGAACUUGGACAAAUAGUCAAAUAGUUAUAUUUAUGUUUUUUUUUCUUUUUUUAUAUAAUGGCAAUGUUACAUUAUGGAGAUAAGCCGGUUUUUAGUGAAAAUUGUAAUCUUACAUAUGUUUAAUGUAGUUUUUCUAUUUUUUUUAUGUUGUGUGUUUACAUAUUAUUGUUAUUUUUAAAUGUAAAAUGGUAAUCUUACAUAUGUUUAAUGUAGUAUUUCCAUUUUUUAUGUUGUAUGUUUACAUAUUAUUUAUUAUUUUUGAAAUUAUAUAUAAUGUUUUUUUUACAAAAUAGUAAUAUUACAUUAUGGAGAUAAGCCGUCUUUUUUUUAGUGAAAAAUGGUAAUCUUACAUAUGUUUAAUUAAUGUAGUUUUUCCAUUUUUUAUGUUGUAUGUUUACAUAUUAUUAUUUUUAAAUAAAAAUGUAAAAUGGUAAUCUUACAUAUGUUUAAUGUAGUAUUUCUAUUUUUUAUGUUGUAUGUUUACAUAUAUUUAUUAUUUUUGAAAUUGUAUAUAAUGUUUUUUGUUUUUUUUAUAAAACGGUAAUGUUACAUUAUGGAGAUAAGCCGUCUUUUUUUUAAGUGAAAAAUGGUAAUCUUACAUAUGUUUAAUGUAGUUUUUCUAUUUUUUGUGUUGUAUGUUUACAUAUUAUUUAUAAUUUUCAAAAAUUUGUAAUAUUAAAAUGUAAAACUAUAUUUUAUGCCACGUGUCAUCUUUCGAGAGAAGUUUCUUUUGCUGAUAUGGACGCUCUAUGGAGCCUCAAAAGGUCGCUUUUAUUAGUAGAGACUAGGGAUUAACCCGGGCUACGCCCGGGAUUUUUAUUUUUUCUAAUUUAAGUUGUUAAAUUAUUUAUAUUUAGGCUAUGAUAUAUAUUUAUAUAAAUGUUAAAGUGCAUAUCAUAAUUAAAAUUUAUUUUUAAAUUUUAAAACGUUAAAUUAACAUAUUUUUAAAACGUUAAAUUAACAUAUUUUUUUAAUAAAAUGGAGCCAUGGUAUAAUCAGUGGUGUAUAACAUGAUUUGGUAAGUAAUAUAUGAG
Molecule: long non-coding RNA, 2139 nt
Filed under: Brassica rapa (field mustard)
Lineage: Eukaryota; Viridiplantae; Streptophyta; Magnoliopsida; Brassicales; Brassicaceae
Description: long non-coding RNA (BRAP_LNC006962)
Source: RNAcentral